CUUCCCCGUUGUUCUCCCAUCGUGCAACAUUCUCUCUUUUCCAUCCGAUUCUCACCUUGCCAUCGGACCUCCGGCAGCCCCGCUCCACCUCCGCCUUCGUCGCCUCCCUCCUCGCCGCCUACCCCUUCGCUGGGAGCAAUGCCACUGGAAGUAAACAAUAGCAACAAAGAUCGUGAUGAGUUAUCUUAGAAUUGCAAUCAACUUGUUUCAAUCGAAACCCGACAAUCAAAUUUGUUUGAACUGAUUUAUUGCAAUAUAUUUUUAUAAAAUCUAUUAUACUAUGAUCUAAGGAUCUAUAUAUGACAUAUUUGGAUGUUGUACGAUAUCUAAUUUGAAUGUUGUAUGGAGUUUA
This is a non-coding RNA of Lactuca sativa (garden lettuce), 352 nucleotides long. The record is from RefSeq and is a predicted model, not a curated record. Lineage: Eukaryota; Viridiplantae; Streptophyta; Magnoliopsida; Asterales; Asteraceae.